RNAcentral lists this ribosomal RNA (253 nucleotides) under uncultured bacterium. Its description in RNAcentral is "partial 16S ribosomal RNA". It matches the Rfam family "Bacterial small subunit ribosomal RNA", at positions 524 to 776 of the family's 1533-position model. The record is from RNAcentral.
UACGAAGGGGGCUAGCGUUGCUCGGAAUCACUGGGCGUAAAGGGUGCGUAGGCGGGUUUUUAAGUCAGGGGUGAAAUCCUGGAGCUCAACUCCAGAACUGCCUUUGAUACUGAAGAUCUUGAGUCCGGGAGAGGUGAGUGGAACUGCGAGUGUAGAGGUGAAAUUUGUAGAUAUUCGCAAGAACACCAGUGGCGAAGGCGGCUCACUGGCCCGGUACUGACGCUGAGGCACGAAAGCGUGGGGAGCAAACAGG